AGAUGUGAGGGCGAUCUGACUGCAACAUCUGUCACCCCAUUGAUCGCCAGGGUUGAUUCGGCUAAUCUGGCUGGCUAGGCGGGUGUCCCCUUCCUCCCUCACCGCUCCAUGUGCAUCCCUCCUGAAGCUGCACGCUCGGUGGAAGAGGACAACGUCCCAGGUAUAGGAGUGUACCGAGGUCUCCAGUCUUCGGUCCCAGGUAUACGAUAGCUGUGCUCCCCUGCUAGAACCUCCAAACAAGCUCAAAGACUUGAGGUCUUAAGGUGUUUACAUUCUCCUGCUGACGGCAGAAAGUUUAAAAUUGUUGUUUUCAUCUAUUCAUUUUAUGUUAUGUUCAUCUAUAUGCUGUU
Molecule: non-coding RNA, 350 nt
Organism: Anolis carolinensis (green anole)
Lineage: Eukaryota; Metazoa; Chordata; Lepidosauria; Squamata; Anolidae
Source: Rfam